Molecule: long non-coding RNA, 1183 nt
Organism: Coregonus clupeaformis (lake whitefish)
Lineage: Eukaryota; Metazoa; Chordata; Actinopteri; Salmoniformes; Salmonidae
Exons: 2
Source: RefSeq, a predicted model, not a curated record
GCAUCAUCCGCUUGUCUACCAGGUAUAUAACGUUCCCAUACGAUGCAGGUGACCAGCCAAACAUCAAAGCGCAAUUUGCAGCGAUAGCCGGUUUUCCUAAUGUAAUCGGAGCGAUCGACUGCACACAUAUUGCUAUAAAGGCGCCAUCUGAAGACGAAUUUGCAUAUGUGAAUCGGAAACAUUUCCAUUCAAUAAAUGUGCAGAUUAUAUGUGAUGCACAAAUGCGCCUAACAAAUAUUGUGGCAAGGUGGCCUGGGUCAACCCAUGAUUCAUAUAUCCUUACAAACAGCAUGGUUGGGAUGAGACUCCAAGCUGGCAGGGUGCGCGAUGGGUGGCUACUUGGAGACAGUGGUUAUCCACUAAAGACGUGGCUGUUAACCCCCCUCACCAACCCACAAACUGACCGAGAGCGCAGAUACAAUGAUGCCCAUUCCCGCACUCGGUCAGUUGUGGAGCGGGCGAUUGGGCAGCUGAAAUGUAGGUGGCGCUGCCUUGACAAGACCGGGGGGAUGCUGUUAUACCGCCCUGACAAGGUUUGCCGCAUCAUACUGGCCUGUGGAGUGCUGCACAAUGUCGCGCACAGGCAUGGCAUACCCCUUGGUGAGGUGGGGGCACCGCCAGAUGACCCUGACCCAGGACCAGUAUAUGUGCAGCACAAUCAACAAGCCAUUCAGGCCCGUCAACGUGUAAUUGCGACAAUAUAAAUGGUACUCAGACACAAAGUUCAUUUUUUGACCAAUUCUUUUAAUGAAUGGCUUAUUUCUGUGAGUGCGUCAGUGACAUUUUUAAGGUGACUGUUCAUUUCUUCAAUGGCCCUAACAAUUUGUUGUUGUGACUCCAGAACAGCAUGCGUCAAGACACGGCCAGAUGGACGGGCUUCAGCACUGGGGGGAACAUUAGAGACACGGGAGACGCUGGACUGAAUGGGCUCUGGCUGCUCAGGUGGUGCGGACUCUGAGUGCGUGCCAGUGGACGUUCCUGCGGUUCCUAAGUCCAAUUAAACACAGGCACAUCUUAACAGUAAUUUGAGUCUGUUCCUUAUUAAUGGGUACACGCAUUUGCAAUAAAAGCAGUGGAUACGUGAAAUCUCUGGUGUACCUUUUGCUAUAUUGCAUGCAUUUUAAAAUUAAACGGUGGCUGGCUAUGUAUAUCAAAGUUAAGGAAAUAAAUCUGAGUCACCUUG